RNAcentral lists this ribosomal RNA (382 nucleotides) under uncultured bacterium. RNAcentral's name for it is "bacterial SSU rRNA". It matches the Rfam family "Bacterial small subunit ribosomal RNA", at positions 28 to 413 of the family's 1533-position model. The record is from RNAcentral.
GACGAACGCUGGCGGCGUGCUUAACACAUGCAAGUCGAGCGGUAAGGCCCUUUCGGGGGUACACGAGCGGCGAACGGGUGAGUAACACGUGGGCGACCUACCCUCAGCUUCGGGAUAAGCCUGGGAAACUGGGUCUAAUACCGGAUAUGACCACAUGUCGCAUGGUGUGUGGUGGAAAGUUUUUUCGGCUGGGGAUGGGCCCGCGGCCUAUCAGCUUGUUGGUGGGGUGAUGGCCUACCAAGGCGACGACGGGUAGCCGGCCUGAGAGGGCGACCGGCCACACUGGGACUGAGAUACGGCCCAGACUCCUACGGGAGGCGGCAGUGGGGAAUAUUGCGCAAUGGGCGAAAGCCUGACGCAGCGACGCCGCGUGGGGAUGACG